AACACAAACGCACUGCACCGCAGCUAUAGAUGGUAGAAUAUUUUUUAAUUAUUAAACACGACAACCCACGUUAUGGACAAAUGUUUGACAAAAACGGCCGGAAAACAAAGAAGAAGCGUUGCUGUAAGGAAACAGGCGUUCCGUCUUCUCAAGAAGCUCAUUAAAUUCACCUGUCGCGUCAACUGAAGCCGCAUUACGACGACAGAAAUGUCACCAACAGGUGUCCGUCCGCCGGCUCUAACGCGUCCUUCAGCGACGAACAGGCGAAUCCCCGCGCGAGGUGCUUCAAAUGCCAACUCGUCCUUCUUAUGAAAACAACAAAAACAAGCUUCAGGGGGGAGACGCGGAAAAAAACAACUUUUCGGCCCGUCGGAACUCACCUUGGGACUCGGGAGGAGACGCGUCGCUGCCAUCCUGCUCCGCCAUUUCUCCUGACGUCAGCUGAGCGGGAUCAGCGCGAGGAUGCCGAGUCGGGCCAGGUCCCCUCCCACGGACAGGUGGGGGGACAAGGGGUCACACCUAAUAGCGCAAUACGCCUCUGCUAAUGUGUUCUCCCACGUCACCGGGACGGGGGGGAAAAAACAAAAACUAUUUGCCAUCGCACGUUUGCUUUAACGCACCUUUUAUGCGCUAAUGUGGCCUCACGCGGAUCAUUUGUAUUAGUAUUAUUGGCCGAGCGAUUGAACAUUUAGUCAAUCUAUGUCAAUCUAAAAAAAAAGGAUAUUUGUAGGUCCACUUGGUUGAAAACAGACUGCUUGAUAAACUUGAGAUAGUUCAUCAGGUCUGUGUAAAGUGUCAUGCUGACAUCUAGUGUCCGUGUCGGUAGAACAGAAUGUCUCACCAUUGUCAGGGAUCUCGUGACCUAUAUUUUAGUGUCUGUUCAAGUUUAGCAAAGUGGUCACAAACGGGAUGGGGAAGUAGAACGUUAAUAGCAUUAGCCUUGGUGUCUUAAACGGCAAAUCUUGACAGCAAUUGUCUUCCUAAGCAUAUUUAGAUGCAUGUUUUUAAAUGAGAUUACAUAUGAGACAGAA
Molecule: non-coding RNA, 1031 nt
Organism: Gasterosteus aculeatus aculeatus (three-spined stickleback)
Lineage: Eukaryota; Metazoa; Chordata; Actinopteri; Perciformes; Gasterosteidae
Source: RefSeq, a predicted model, not a curated record